This 22-nucleotide non-coding RNA is filed under the name Arabidopsis thaliana (thale cress). The record is from RNAcentral. Lineage: Eukaryota; Viridiplantae; Streptophyta; Magnoliopsida; Brassicales; Brassicaceae.
UUGCCAUCGAGGGUGUAGUCGA